This 1764-nucleotide long non-coding RNA is filed under the name Lathyrus oleraceus (garden pea). RNAcentral describes it as "Pisum sativum (pea) long non-coding RNA (PSAT_LNC040174)". The record is from RNAcentral. Lineage: Eukaryota; Viridiplantae; Streptophyta; Magnoliopsida; Fabales; Fabaceae.
UUGAUAGAUGCACCGGCCACAUUCUUUAUAAUCUCAUCUGGCAUGCUGUUUGGAGCAGUUUUUAUUUCCAUUAUAAUGCUAUAAAUUGGUUUUCCAUUUUCUAAGGAUACGUGAUUGUUUGGAUGUCUAGUCUUAGCACCAGCAUGCUGCUCGAACUCAUAGGCACUGAGCACUCUAGAGUAACUGCACAUUGAACAACCACACAAAUAUCCACCGCUACUGAUAAUCCCUUCCAGCUCAACCUUUCCAGCAUCAGAAAAUGCUUUAAUCUGUUUGGAAACUAAUACGUGGCUUUAGUGUUUCCUCCAACAGUACUGUCUCUUCCAUUUGAUAAAGUAGCUCUACACAGUUCCGAAACCUCCGUCUCUGAUUAUGUUUGUCUUGCUGAAAUUAUCGGUAGCUUUGAGGAUAUCAACCAAAGUUAAUUUCAAAAGAGGCUGCUCGAACAUUGCCACGUUGAUACUCAAAGGUUCCUUUGAUUUUCUACUGCUCAAGAAGUAAAGAUUUUGAUCCAAAUAACUAUUCAGUUUGGUAUCGCCGAGUUCCUCGGGAUCAUGUUGCUUCCUGCUAACCCAUCAGACACUGUAAUUCACUUAGUUCCACCAAUUUGCCAUUGAGUUGAUUGUUUCCAAGGUCCAAUGUAGUGAGUGAAACACAAUCACCGAGCUCCAUUGGAAUGUUUCCAAUAAGCAUGUUUCCAUUCAAAUUAAAAAACUGAAAGACUUUGAAGACUUCCGAUUUCCUUCGGGAUAGUACCUUUGACACGGUUAUUGCUAAGAACAAGCCUUUGUAGAAUUACAGCACUCCCAAUCUCCACAGGAAGUGAACCCUCCAAGUGGUUAUUUGCAGCGGAAAACUCCAUCAGAGUUGAUAAGUUCCACAAACUAGAAGGAAUCUUUCCACUGAAAUUGUUGUUGUCCAAGUCCAACACCAUGAAAGGAAGCUCGGAAAGGUACUUCGGAAUAGAACCAACAAUCUGAUUGUUCAUCAAAACCAACUGAGUAAGGUUCUUACAAUUAACAAAAGCCUUCUCAAUUGUUCCACUAAGAUAGUCAUCAUCAAACGGAAUAGAACCAACAAUCUGAUUGUUCAUCAAAACCAACUGAGUAAGGUUCUUACAAUUAACAAAAGCCUUCUCAAUUGUUCCACUAAGAUAGUCAUCAUCAAGAUCCAUCUCCAAAAGUGAAGCAACAUUACAAAGCUCCUCAGGUAUAUGACCUGUCAACAAGUUGCUACUCAAACUGAGAUGCUCCAUCACAGAACAAUUCCCAAGCUCCGGCGGAAUCACACCCGAAAAUCGAUUCGCCGAAAGCAAACGAGAAUCAACAUUAGUCCAUUUUCCAAGCCAAGAAGGCAAAGGUCCAUGGGGAAGAUUCUUUUUCAGCUGAGAAAGUUCUUAUAGGAAGCGCAGAAAGCUCUUGAGGUAGUAAACCCGGAAGUGAGUUGAAAGAAAGCAUCACAUAAGUUAAAUUUGAACAGUUUCCAAGCUCUGAUGGAACUGACCCAUUAAGCUCAGAAAAGACAAGGCUCAAAAUUUUCAGAUUUUUCAACUUCCCAAUAAACUUUGGGAUUGAACAUUUCAAAGGGUUAUAAGAAAGGUCAAGUUUAGUCAACGGUUUCAGGUUCUCCAUUUCUUCAAGUAAUGGACCUUCGAUCAAGCAAGAAGUGAAUGGAGAAGAAUGCAAACGAGUGAUUGAUGGGGAAAAAUUUCAGGGCCAAAAUCGGGGUAUGAUACAAAUGUUCAUAGCAACAAUUCUCAAGAAA